Molecule: ribosomal RNA, 459 nt
Filed under: uncultured bacterium
Lineage: Bacteria
Description: partial 16S ribosomal RNA
Rfam family: Bacterial small subunit ribosomal RNA
Source: RNAcentral
GCUACGGGUGGCAGCAGUGAGGAAUAUUGGUCAAUGGCCGCAGGUCUGAACCAGCCAAGUCGCGUGAGGGAUGACGGUCCUAUGGAUUGUAAACCUCUUUUGUCAGGGAGCAAAGGGCGCCACGUGUGGCGUUUUGCGAGUACCUGAAGAAAAAGCAUCGGCUAACUCCGUGCCAGCAGCCGCGGUAAUACGGAGGAUGCGAGCGUUAUCCGGUUUUAUUGGGUUUAAAGGGUGCGCAGGCGGAAUUUCAAGUCAGCGGGAAAAUUUCGGGGCCCAACCUCGUCGUGCCGUUGAAACUGGCGGUCUUGAGUGAACGAGAAGUAUGCGGAAUGCGUGGUGUAGCGGUGAAAUGCAUAGAUAUCACGCAGAACUCCGAUUGCGAAGGCAGCAUACCGGAGCUCAACUGACGCUCAUGCACGAAAGCGUGGGUAUCGAACAGGAUUAGAUACCCCUGUAGUC